UACGUAGGGGGCGAGCGUUGUCCGAAGUUACUGGGCGUAAAGCGCGCGUAGGCGGUUGUUUAAGUUAGAUGUGAAAUCCCGCGGCCCAACUGCGGAACUGCAUCUGAAACUGGGCGACUUGAGGACGGAAGAGGGCAGUGGAAUUCCUGGUGUAGCGGUGAAAUGCGUAGAUAUCAGGAGGAACACCGGUGGCGAAGGCGGCUGCCUGGUCCGUAUCUGACGCUGAGGUGCGAAAGCUAGGGGAGCGAACGGGAUUAGAAACCCUAGUAGUCC
Molecule: ribosomal RNA, 273 nt
Filed under: uncultured prokaryote
Description: partial 16S ribosomal RNA
Rfam family: Bacterial small subunit ribosomal RNA
Source: RNAcentral